Molecule: transfer RNA, 67 nt
Filed under: Gekko grossmanni
Lineage: Eukaryota; Metazoa; Chordata; Lepidosauria; Squamata; Gekkonidae
Description: tRNA-Ala
Source: RNAcentral
AAGAUUUGUAAAACCAUAAAUACAUCUUCUGAAUGCAACCCAGACGCUUUAAUUAAACUAAAAUCUC